AGGCUGUAGGGCAAUAAGUGUUAAUUUAUAUGUUAAUUAUGUUAUGCAUAUAUAUUUAUGUGUUUAUUUAUAUUUGAAUUAAAAGAAAAGAAUAAAGUUCGGAUGUGUCCUACAGUUGUAAGUUUUAAUAAAUGCUGUGGCCUGUCUCAUCCAAUAUUCGUUGUCUGUCGUUAUUAAGGGGACAAGUGGGGUAGUCUCUUUACCUUUAGUCGCACCACAUUCCCCGCUACGUACAUACAUG
Molecule: non-coding RNA, 241 nt
Organism: Pelobates cultripes (western spadefoot toad)
Lineage: Eukaryota; Metazoa; Chordata; Amphibia; Anura; Pelobatidae
Source: the annotation of a GenBank genome assembly